AGGGUCCUUAGCACAGUUCUCAACUCUGACUUCCUCUUUCCUUCCUGAAAUAAAAUCACUGUAGGUUCUCCUGUCUCCUGUACUCCCAGGAAAAACUGUUUCCUUAAUACACAUACAUUGCAAUUAAACCUCUUAAACAUGGUUUCAGUAAUAAUUAUUUUAGGAAUAUUCCUGAUUAAACCUGCCAAUUAACACAGGAAACUAGAAGUAAAUAAUUACUUCUUUCAGUAUGUUUUCCUAUCCAGAAUACUCACAGAUAAUGAGCAGAGGAAGACAGUUGUCAAAAUUGAACUGUACUUCUUUUUUCAUGGGCUUUCAGUCUGGUUUCUAACUGAGGGAGGAGAGGAGCAAUAACUAAGAAGAAUUAGGAUGUACAAAGGCUUUUAAAUGCAGGGGUUUAUUUUUCUAAUUCUUAUUAUUUUAUAUGCUGUUAAAGUGAUCAUCUUCUUAUACAUGCUUAAUAUCAUGUUUUCCAGGGAUAGAGACAAAAAACUUAAUGAUGUCUGAGUGUCACACCUUGAACCUGUGGUCUUGAUGUGGUUUGUCCAGAUCAUGGUGCUAAGGAAAUCUUUAGGGUCUCAUCAGUACAUAAGGACACUUAUUUCCUUCCAGAAUGAAGAUCACAGAAGACAGGGUAAGAAGUUGCUCUUCACAGAGUUCCUCCUUUGGCUCCUGUGGUGUAAAGCUACAUGUACCUCCUGCUACAUGGAAAAAUUGCAACAGAAUUAAAAUUCAAAAAGCCUGGAUUUAUUUGAAGUAACACCAACAGAGAUCUGGGAUGAUUCCAUUAACAGCACUGCAGUCAUGCUGUUUCCAAAAGGAUAUCUAAAGAACUGUAUCCAAGGAGGAUGUCACACUUUUCUGUUCUCAAGUUCAACUUUAUCUCUGAGAGCAUCAGCAAGUUUCACCUCUUCUGAAAGAGCACUCUCCUGUGAUUUAUUUAGAAACUCCUGCUGCUCCCUCUGCAAGACAUGCUCAACUCAAAGGAGACCACUCAGAUGAAUGGGAAGGAAUUUAGGGACAAUGAAAGUAUUUAAUGUGUAGAGUCACAGAGACUCAGCACAUACCAAACAUCCCUGCUAAGCUCAUGUUCCUAAAAUC
This 1101-nucleotide long non-coding RNA is filed under the name Ficedula albicollis (Collared flycatcher). Its description in RNAcentral is "lncRNA (ENSFALG00000024241.1)". The record is from RNAcentral. Lineage: Eukaryota; Metazoa; Chordata; Aves; Passeriformes; Muscicapidae.